AUGUACCCACGACACUCCGGUUCCUCCGCGCCGCCCGCACCCACCUGACGGCUGCUCGCUACGUUUUGUUAGCC
This 74-nucleotide small RNA is filed under the name Xanthomonas campestris. RNAcentral's name for it is "sX9 sRNA". It matches the Rfam family "Xanthomonas sRNA sX9". The record is from RNAcentral. RNAcentral also lists the same sequence under 2 other names. Lineage: Bacteria; Pseudomonadati; Pseudomonadota; Gammaproteobacteria; Lysobacterales; Lysobacteraceae.